UACGUAGGGGGCAAGCGUUGUCCGGAAUCAUUGGGCGUAAAGCGCGUGUAGGCGGCUCGGUAAGUCCGCUCUGAAAGUCCAGGGCUCAACCCUGGGAUGCGGGUGGAUACUGCCGGGCUCGAGUCCGGAAGAGGCGAGUGGAAUUCCUGGUGUAGCGGUGAAAUGCGCAGAUAUCAGGAGGAACACCAAUGGCGAAGGCAGCUCGCUGGGACGUGACUGACGCUGAGACGCGAAAGCGUGGGGAGCAAACAGGAUUAGAUACCCCCGUAGUCC
Molecule: ribosomal RNA, 273 nt
Filed under: uncultured bacterium
Lineage: Bacteria
Description: partial 16S ribosomal RNA
Rfam family: Bacterial small subunit ribosomal RNA
Source: RNAcentral